Molecule: long non-coding RNA, 338 nt
Filed under: Elaeis guineensis (African oil palm)
Lineage: Eukaryota; Viridiplantae; Streptophyta; Magnoliopsida; Arecales; Arecaceae
Description: long non-coding RNA (EGUI_LNC002034)
Source: RNAcentral
CUGAGUUGGCUUGUAUGAAAAAGCUCUGAAGGCUAAAAUUCGGCUGCCUUUCCACUACCUCAUAGUGGAAUUUCUUAAGUUAUAUAGGGUAAGUUUCUGUAGUAUUACGUCGAACUCAUAGCUGCAGAUCAUAGGUUUUUUUGCUUAUUGCCUUCUCCUCAGGGUCGAACCGACCUUCCAUCUUCUUCGGGCCUCCUUCAUACUAAAAGAGCAUCCCAAAGAGAAUGGAUGGUGGUAUGCCUCUCCUCAUGGGGAUGCCGUCUCUUCCGAAGUUCUCUUACUUCAUUGCAUAACUGGAAGGAGCGUUUCUUCUUUGUCUCGAUCUAGCAAUCUUGGGA